This 64-nucleotide transfer RNA is filed under the name Downesia tarsata. RNAcentral describes it as "tRNA-Trp". Lineage: Eukaryota; Metazoa; Arthropoda; Insecta; Coleoptera; Chrysomelidae. The record is from RNAcentral.
AAGGAUUUAAGUUAAAUAAACUAUUAACCUUCAAAGUUAAAAAUAAAUUAAAUUUUAAGCCUUA